Molecule: ribosomal RNA, 468 nt
Filed under: uncultured bacterium
Lineage: Bacteria
Description: partial 16S ribosomal RNA
Rfam family: Bacterial small subunit ribosomal RNA
Source: RNAcentral
GACGGACGCUGGCGGCGUGCUUAACACAUGCAAGUCGAACGGAAAGGCCCUGCUUUUGUGGGGUGCUCGAGUGGCGAACGGGUGUGUAACACGUGAGUAACCUGCCCUUGACUUUGGGAUAACUUCAGGAAACUGGGGCUAAUACCGGAUAGGAGCUCCUGCUGCAUGGUGGGGGUUGGAAAGUUUCGGCGGUUGGGGAUGGACUCGCGGCUUAUCAGCUUGUUGGUGGGGUAGUGGCUUACCAAGGCUUUGACGGGUAGCCGGCCUGAGAGGGUGACCGGCCACAUUGGGACUGAGAUACGGCCCAGACUCCUACGGGAGGCAGCAGUGGGGAAUAUUGCACAAUGGGCGGAAGCCUGAUGCAGCAACGCCGCGUGCGGGAUGACGGCCUUCGGGUUGUAAACCGCUUUCGCCUGUGACGAAGCGUGAGUGACGGUAAUGGGUAAAGAAGCACCGGCUAACUACGUG